CAAAUGGAAAAUUUUCUACAGGAUACGUCCUGUGAGACAUCUCAAGAUUUCUUUUGUGGAACUCUGGAUGUGAAAGAUAAAACACUCUGUCAAUCAAAUUAAAAAUUAUGCCUUUCUUUGAGAUCGGGUGCUGAGACCAAUAAUUCAAAAAUCUUCUCGAAAAGUGUCCAAAAAACUAAUGGUAUCACCCCCCCACCUCUCUCGUGAAUUAAAGCCUCGG
This is a long non-coding RNA of Trachymyrmex cornetzi, 220 nucleotides long. RefSeq lists it as uncharacterized. Lineage: Eukaryota; Metazoa; Arthropoda; Insecta; Hymenoptera; Formicidae. The record is from RefSeq and is a predicted model, not a curated record. The transcript is spliced from 3 exons.